AGUAAUACAUCGGAACGUGUCUUCAAGUGGGGGAUAACUGCCCGAAAGGGCAGCUAAUACCGCAUGAGACCUGAGGGUGAAAGCGGGGGAUCGCAAGACCUCGCGCUGGAAGAGCGGCCGAUGUCCGAUUAGCUAGUUGGUGAGGUAAAGGCUCACCAAGGCGACGAUCGGUAGCUGGUCUGAGAGGACGACCAGCCACACUGGGACUGAGACACGGCCCAG
This 222-nucleotide ribosomal RNA is filed under the name uncultured bacterium. RNAcentral describes it as "partial 16S ribosomal RNA". It matches the Rfam family "Bacterial small subunit ribosomal RNA", at positions 109 to 334 of the family's 1533-position model. The record is from RNAcentral.